RNAcentral lists this ribosomal RNA (430 nucleotides) under uncultured bacterium. RNAcentral describes it as "partial 16S ribosomal RNA". It matches the Rfam family "Bacterial small subunit ribosomal RNA", at positions 29 to 506 of the family's 1533-position model. The record is from RNAcentral.
AACGAACGCUGGCGGCAGGCCUAACACAUGCAAGUCGAGCGCCCCGCAAGGGGAGCGGCGGACGGGUGAGUAACGCGUGGGAAUAUGCCCUUUGCUACGGAAUAGUCUCGGGAAACUGGGGGUAAUACCGUAUACGCCCUUUGGGGGAAAGAUUUAUCGGCGAAGGAUUAGCCCGCGUUGGAUUAGGUAGUUGGUGGGGUAAUGGCCUACCAAGCCGACGAUCCAUAGCUGGUUUGAGAGGAUGAUCAGCCACACUGGGACUGAGACACGGCCCAGACUCCUACGGGAGGCAGCAGUGGGGAAUCUUAGACAAUGGGGGCAACCCUGAUCUAGCCAGGCCGCGUGAGUGAUGAAGGCCUUAGGGUUGUAAAGCUCUUUCAGCUGGGAAGAUAAUGACGGUACCAGCAGAAGAAGCCCCGGCUAACUCCGU